Molecule: long non-coding RNA, 321 nt
Filed under: Gallus gallus (chicken)
Lineage: Eukaryota; Metazoa; Chordata; Aves; Galliformes; Phasianidae
Description: lncRNA (ENSGALG00010007613.1)
Source: RNAcentral
CAGAGCCCACUGCCUGCAGCUGCAUCUCUGCUUCCUUCCCUCCCACACAGAGCUCCAAGGGUGCUCCUGCCAUCCCCUGCCCACCCCUAAAAUGCCAAAUACAUUUGGCAGCGGGAUGGAGGAAUCCCAGCACGCUGCUUCCUCUGUCCCCCAGGGCUCCCGUCUGAGCAAUGGGAAUGCUGAAUCAGGACCAGAGAAGGCCAGAUCAGAAGCUGCAGCUGAGACUGAUGGACCUGCACAACUGCAAAAGUGCCGUGGCUAUAAGCAGCGGAAGGCAUAUCAAACUGGGUUACUUGCGAGCACACCAGGACUGGAGUGAAG